CAGAGGUGGCAAGCGUUGUUCGGAAUUACUGGGCGUAAAGGGCGCGUAGGUGGCCUUCUUAGUCAGACGUGAAAUCCCCGGGCUUAACUCGGGAACUGCGUCUGAUACUGGAAGGCUCGAGUUCGGGAGAGGAAUGUGGAAUUCCAGGUGUAGCGGUGAAAUGCGUAGAUAUCUGGAGGAACACCGGUGGCGAAGGCGGCAUUCUGGACCGAAACUGACACUGAUGCGCGAAAGCCAGGGGAGCAAACGGGAUUAGAUACCCCGGUAGUCCUGGCCCUAAACGAUGAGUGCUUGGUGUGGCGGAUAUCGAUCCCUGCCGUGCCGAAGCUAACGCAUUAAGCACUCCGCCUGGGGAGUACGGUCGCAAGGCUG
Molecule: ribosomal RNA, 372 nt
Filed under: uncultured organism
Description: bacterial SSU rRNA
Rfam family: Bacterial small subunit ribosomal RNA
Source: RNAcentral